UGAUAAUAUAACAUGGUCUGGUAGGUGAUAUUAUAACAUGGUCUGGUAGGUGAUAUUAUAACAUGGUCUGGUAGGUGAUAUUAUAACAUGGUCUGGUAGGUGAUAUUAUAACGUGGUCUGGUAGGUGAUAUUAUAACAUGGUCUGGUAGGUGAUAUUAUAACAUGGUCUGGUAGGUGAUAUUAUAUUAUAUAUAGUAAUGGUUAUACAUGGUCUGGUAGGUGUUGCAGCUGAAGUUCUUGUUGCUGAGGCAGGUUAGGAACCCUCUGGAGAUGCUGGAGAGGAGUGGUUUCAGUUUCACCUCCAUCCACACCUUUAUCAGGUCCUCAUCUUGGUAGGCUUCUGUCUCUGGGUUCACACUGAUACCCAGCUCUAGUUUGAACACUGGGGUCUGGGAUAGACUGGAUCUCUGCAGAGGGGGAGACAGGGGUUAAAGUUCACACUGAUACCCAGCUCUAGUUUGAACACUGGGGUCUGGGAUAGACUGGAUCUCUGGAGAGGGGGAGACAGGGGUUAAGGUUCACACUGAUACCCAGCUCUAGUCCAAACACUGGGGUCUGGGAUAGACUGGAUCUCUGGAGAGGGGGAGACAGGGGUUAAGGUUCACACUGAUACCCAGCUCUAGUCCUAACACUGGGGUCUGGGAUAGACUGGAUCUCUGGAGAGGGGGAGACAGGGGUUAAGGUUCACAAUGAUACCCAGCUCUAGUCCUAACACUGGGGUCUGGGAUAGACUGGAUCUCUGGAGAGGGGGAGACAGGGGUUAAGGUUCACAAUGAUACCCAGCUCUAGUCCUAACACUGGGGUCUGGGAUAGACUGGAUCUCUGGAGAGGGGGAGACAGGGGAUUAAGGUUCACAAUGAUACCCAGUUCUAGUCCGAACACUGGGGUCUGGGAUAGACUGUAUCUCUGGAGAGGGGGAGACAGGGGUUAAGUAUAUAAUAACAUGCUGGUAGACCUCAGCUUCUGUGUUGUCAGAUAUCCAGUUGUAGACCCAACAACAGGGAUAGACUGGACCUCUGGAGGGGAGGGAGAGAGACUGGUUAGGAGACUAUAGCUCGGCAGGGGGAGAGAGACUGGUUUGGAGAUUAUAGCUCUGCAGGGGGAGAGAGACUGGUUAGGAGACUAUAGCUCUGCAGGGGGA
This is a long non-coding RNA of Oncorhynchus tshawytscha (Chinook salmon), 1141 nucleotides long. NCBI's taxonomy places the organism in Eukaryota, Metazoa, Chordata, Actinopteri, Salmoniformes, Salmonidae. The record is from Ensembl.